This 75-nucleotide transfer RNA is filed under the name Mus musculus (house mouse). RNAcentral describes it as "tRNA-Ser". The record is from RNAcentral. Lineage: Eukaryota; Metazoa; Chordata; Mammalia; Rodentia; Muridae.
GGCUGGAGAGAUGGCUCAGCGGGUAAGAGCACCGACUGCUCUUCCAGAGGUCCUGAGUUCAAUUCCCAGCAGCCA